RNAcentral lists this ribosomal RNA (2880 nucleotides) under Campylobacter jejuni. RNAcentral's name for it is "partial 23S ribosomal RNA". It matches the Rfam family "Bacterial large subunit ribosomal RNA". The record is from RNAcentral. Lineage: Bacteria; Pseudomonadati; Campylobacterota; Epsilonproteobacteria; Campylobacterales; Campylobacteraceae.
AGGUAAGCUACUAAGAGCGAAUGGUGGAUGCCUUGACUGGUAAAGGCGAUGAAGGACGUACUAGACUGCGAUAAGCUACGGGGAGCUGUCAAGAAGCUUUGAUCCGUAGAUUUCCGAAUGGGGCAACCCAAUGUAUAGAGAUAUACAUUACCUAUAUAGGAGCGAACGAGGGGAAUUGAAACAUCUUAGUACCCUCAGGAAAAGAAAUCAAUAGAGAUUACGUCAGUAGCGGCGAGCGAAAGCGCAAGAGGGCAAACCCAGUGCUUGCACUGGGGGUUGUAGGACUGCAAUGUGCAAGAGGUAAGUUUAGCAGAACAUUCUGGAAAGUAUAACCAUAGAGGGUGAUAGUCCCGUAUGCGAAAAACAAACCUUAGCUAGCAGUAUCCUGAGUAGGGCGGGACACGAGGAAUCCUGUCUGAAUCCGGGUCGACCACGAUCCAACCCUAAAUACUAAUACCAGAUCGAUAGUGCACAAGUACCGUGAGGGAAAGGUGAAAAGAACUGAGGUGAUCAGAGUGAAAUAGAACCUGAAACCAUUUGCUUACAAUCAUUCAGAGCCCUAUGUAGCAAUACAGGGUGAUGGACUGCCUUUUGCAUAAUGAGCCUGCGAGUUGUGGUGUCUGGCAAGGUUAAGCAAACGCGAAGCCGUAGCGAAAGCGAGUCUGAAUAGGGCGCUUAGUCAGAUGCUGCAGACCCGAAACGAAGUGAUCUAUCCAUGAGCAAGUUGAAGCUAGUGUAAGAACUAGUGGAGGACUGAACCCAUAGGCGUUGAAAAGCCCCGGGAUGACUUGUGGAUAGGGGUGAAAGGCCAAUCAAACUUCGUGAUAGCUGGUUCUCUCCGAAAUAUAUUUAGGUAUAGCGUUGUGUCGUAAUAUAAGGGGGUAGAGCACUGAAUGGGCUAGGGCAUACACCAAUGUACCAAACCCUAUCAAACUCCGAAUACCUUAUAUGUAAUCACAGCAGUCAGGCGGCGAGUGAUAAAAUCCGUCGUCAAGAGGGAAACAACCCAGACUACCAGCUAAGGUCCCUAAAUCUUACUUAAGUGGAAAACGAUGUGAAGUUACUUAAACAACCAGGAGGUUGGCUUAGAAGCAGCCAUCCUUUAAAGAAAGCGUAAUAGCUCACUGGUCUAGUGAUUUUGCGCGGAAAAUAUAACGGGGCUAAAGUAAGUACCGAAGCUGUAGACUUGCACACAACUUAGAUUAUUUAAGUUUAGAAUAUGAGAAACUAAGUUAUAUGUUUAGUUAUAUUUUUACUGAUUUUUAUAGAGUAAAGAUAGAAAUAAAACUUAGUAAAAUCAGUAAAAAUAUUCUUAGACUAAAGUUAAGUAGUUUAAGUUGUGUGCAAGUGGUAGGAGAGCGUUCUAUUUGCGUCGAAGGUAUACCGGUAAGGAGUGCUGGAGCGAAUAGAAGUGAGCAUGCAGGCAUGAGUAGCGAUAAUUAAUGUGAGAAUCAUUAACGCCGUAAACCCAAGGUUUCCUACGCGAUGCUCGUCAUCGUAGGGUUAGUCGGGUCCUAAGUCGAGUCCGAAAGGGGUAGACGAUGGCAAAUUGGUUAAUAUUCCAAUACCAACAUUAGUGUGCGAUGGAAGGACGCUUAGGGCUAAGGGGGCUAGCGGAUGGAAGUGCUAGUCUAAGGUCGUAGGAGGUUGUACAGGCAAAUCCGUAUAACAAUACUCCGAGAACUGAAAGGCUUUUUGAAGUCUUCGGAUGGAUAGAAGAACCCCUGAUGCCGUCGAGCCAAGAAAAGUUUCUAAGUUUAGCUAAUGUUGCCCGUACCGUAAACCGACACAGGUGGGUGGGAUGAGUAUUCUAAGGCGCGUGGAAGAACUCUCUUUAAGGAACUCUGCAAAAUAGCACCGUAUCUUCGGUAUAAGGUGUGGUUAGCUUUGUAUUAGGAUUUACUCCGAAAGCAAGGAAACUUACAACAAAGAGUCCCUCCCGACUGUUUACCAAAAACACAGCACUCUGCUAACUCGUAAGAGGAUGUAUAGGGUGUGACGCCUGCCCGGUGCUCGAAGGUUAAUUGAUGGGGUUAGCAUUAGCGAAGCUCUUGAUCGAAGCCCGAGUAAACGGCGGCCGUAACUAUAACGGUCCUAAGGUAGCGAAAUUCCUUGUCGGUUAAAUACCGACCUGCAUGAAUGGCGUAACGAGAUGGGAGCUGUCUCAAAGAGGGAUCCAGUGAAAUUGUAGUGGAGGUGAAAAUUCCUCCUACCCGCGGCAAGACGGAAAGACCCCGUGGACCUUUACUACAGCUUGACACUGCUACUUGGAUAAGAAUGUGCAGGAUAGGUGGGAGGCUUUGAGUAUAUGACGCCAGUUGUAUAUGAGCCAUUGUUGAGAUACCACUCUUUCUUAUUUGGGUAGCUAACCAGCUUGAGUUAUCCUCAAGUGGGACAAUGUCUGGUGGGUAGUUUGACUGGGGCGGUCGCCUCCCAAAUAAUAACGGAGGCUUACAAAGGUUGGCUCAGAACGGUUGGAAAUCGUUCGUAGAGUAUAAAGGUAUAAGCCAGCUUAACUGCAAGACAUACAAGUCAAGCAGAGACGAAAGUCGGUCUUAGUGAUCCGGUGGUUCUGUGUGGAAGGGCCAUCGCUCAAAGGAUAAAAGGUACCCCGGGGAUAACAGGCUGAUCUCCCCCAAGAGCUCACAUCGACGGGGAGGUUUGGCACCUCGAUGUCGGCUCAUCGCAUCCUGGGGCUGGAGCAGGUCCCAAGGGUAUGGCUGUUCGCCAUUUAAAGCGGUACGCGAGCUGGGUUCAGAACGUCGUGAGACAGUUCGGUCCCUAUCUGCCGUGGGCGUAAGAAGAUUGAAGAGAUUUGACCCUAGUACGAGAGGACCGGGUUGAACAAACCACUGGUGUAGCUGUUGUUCUGCCAAGAGC